Molecule: transfer RNA, 65 nt
Filed under: Spirometra erinaceieuropaei
Lineage: Eukaryota; Metazoa; Platyhelminthes; Cestoda; Diphyllobothriidea; Diphyllobothriidae
Description: trnS2(tga)
Source: RNAcentral
GUCAGUAACACUUAGGUGCUUUUGAUUUGAAAUCAGAAUGUUUGUUUUUAUUAACAAUAUUGACU